This 279-nucleotide ribosomal RNA is filed under the name uncultured bacterium. RNAcentral's name for it is "partial 16S ribosomal RNA". It matches the Rfam family "Bacterial small subunit ribosomal RNA", at positions 506 to 784 of the family's 1533-position model. The record is from RNAcentral.
UGCCAGCCGCCGCGGUAAUACGGAGGAUCCAAGCGUUAUCCGGAAUUAUUGGGUUUAAGGGGUCCGCAGGCUGUUUGUUAAGUUAGAGGUGAGAUCCCAUAGCUUAACUAUGGAACUGCCUUUGAUACUGGUUGACUUGAGUCAUAUGGAAGUAGUUAGAAUGUGUAGUGUAGCGGUGAAAUGCAUAGAUAUUACACAGAAUACCAAUUGCGAAGGCAGAUUACUAACAAUUAACUGACGCUGAGGGACGAAAGCGUGGGUAGCGAACAGGAUUAGAUA